AGAUGGAUUGGUGCCUUCGGGAACUGUGAGACAGGUGCUGCAUGGCUGUCGUCAGCUCGUGUUGUGAAAUGUUGGGUUAAGUCCCGCAACGAGCGCAACCCUUAUCCUUUGUUGCCAGCGGUUAUGCCGGGAACUCAAAGGAGACUGCCAGUGAUAAACUGNAGGAAGGUGGGGAUGACGUCAAGUCAUCAAUGGCCCUUACGACCAGGGCUACACACGUGCUACAAUGGCGCAUACAAAGAGAAGCGACCUCGCCGAGAGCAAGCAGGACCUCAUAAAGUGCGGUCGUAGUCCGGAUAUGGAGUCUGCAACUCGACUCCCAUGAAGUUCGGGAAUCGCUUCGUAAAUCGGUAGAUUCAUACAGCUACCCGGGUGAAUACCUUUCCCGGGCCUUGUGACACACC
RNAcentral lists this ribosomal RNA (404 nucleotides) under Klebsiella variicola. Its description in RNAcentral is "bacterial SSU rRNA". It matches the Rfam family "Bacterial small subunit ribosomal RNA", at positions 1004 to 1391 of the family's 1533-position model. Lineage: Bacteria; Pseudomonadati; Pseudomonadota; Gammaproteobacteria; Enterobacterales; Enterobacteriaceae. The record is from RNAcentral.